ACCUGGCUGGCUCAGUCAGGAGAGCAUGAGACUCUUAAUCUCAGGGUUUUGAGUUCGAAACCCAUAUUGGGUG
RNAcentral lists this transfer RNA (73 nucleotides) under Ailuropoda melanoleuca (giant panda). It matches the Rfam family "tRNA". Rfam says of the family: Transfer RNA (tRNA) molecules are approximately 80 nucleotides in length. Their secondary structure includes four short double-helical elements and three loops (D, anti-codon, and T loops). Lineage: Eukaryota; Metazoa; Chordata; Mammalia; Carnivora; Ursidae. The record is from Rfam by way of RNAcentral.